Molecule: ribosomal RNA, 253 nt
Filed under: uncultured bacterium
Lineage: Bacteria
Description: partial 16S ribosomal RNA
Rfam family: Bacterial small subunit ribosomal RNA
Source: RNAcentral
UACGGAGGGUGCGAGCGUUGUUCGGAAUUACUGGGCGUAAAGGGCGCGCAGGCGGCCCUCCAAGUCAGGCGUGAAAGCCCCGGGCUCAACCCGGGAAUAGCGCUUGAGACUGGGGGGCUUGAGUUCGGGAGAGGAGAGUGGAAUUCCCAGUGUAGAGGUGAAAUUCGUAGAUAUUGGGAAGAACACCGGUGGCGAAGGCGGCUCUCUGGACCGACACUGACGCUGAGGCGCGAAAGCGUGGGGAGCAAACAGG